RNAcentral lists this long non-coding RNA (249 nucleotides) under Capsicum annuum. RNAcentral's name for it is "long non-coding RNA (CANN_LNC019312)". Lineage: Eukaryota; Viridiplantae; Streptophyta; Magnoliopsida; Solanales; Solanaceae. The record is from RNAcentral.
UGACAAUUCUCGGGCACAGGUUGCCCAAUCUUAGGCUAGAAGAGCUUAAUCAGCUAUUUUAUGUCCUCUUUGUCCAAUCUGUGGAUGUCUUUAUCAGGGUAAUUAUGAGGAAAUAAGGAGCAAGUGCUUUAAGUGUGGCCAGGUAAGCCAUCUGCUCAGGGAUUAUUUUGUCAAUAAGGUUGCUACGGGGGCAAAUAAGAUUUCUGUGGCUUUAUCUUCUGCUCCUACACCUAGUGGUGUUGCAUCCGC